Molecule: long non-coding RNA, 642 nt
Filed under: Numida meleagris (helmeted guineafowl)
Lineage: Eukaryota; Metazoa; Chordata; Aves; Galliformes; Numididae
Description: lncRNA (ENSNMEG00000021189.1)
Source: RNAcentral
GACUAGUCUAACUUAAUAUACUUACCAGAAUUCCCUCUCUUCUUUCCCAGCAGUAACAUCAGUAUAGUCAAGGAAGGGAAUUGAGCAAUACCUCCUGUACUACCAACAGAUUAUGCUCUGAGAGGAAAUCUGGGGAGCAGAAGGAGCUUGCUCACUAACAGCUCAAUCCAGUAGACCAAGAGUUGCACUGAAGUGAGUAGAAAGGAAGACCUGGAAUGAGAGCCAUAGCUUCACAAAGAUCACUGGAAGACCUAAAGAUGACCACCAUCCUGAGGAAAGACAAUUGCAUACCAUACAAAUACUUGUCCUUGUUGGCUGACCUGCUCGAAGGCUGUAUCAGUUGGAUCAUAAAUUUUGUGACAGUAAUACCUGAAUACUUGAAAUGCCCGUGGGAACAAAAAGACAACCUAUACAAAAGCAUAGUCAUUGUCUUCAGAGGUAAUGGAGGCAAGAGACUGUAAUUUAUCACAAGAAAGCAAGUAAUCUGUCAGUCUGUGACAAAACUGCCCUUUAUUUGAGAGAACAUAUUUAUUGCAUCCAUUCCUGCCUGUAUGACCCAUAAUGACAAUUAAUGACCGUGGUGUGGGCUUGGACAGCAGUCACUGCAGCAAAUAGCAUGCUUUCCAAACAAUGUGGUUUUAG